CCUACGGGAGGCAGCAGUGAGGAAUAUUGGUCAAUGGGCGCGAGCCUGAACCAGCCAAGUAGCGUGAAGGAUGACUGCCCUACGGGUUGUAAACUUCUUUUAUAAAGGAAUAAAGUGAGGCACGUGUGCCUUUUUGUAUGUACUUUAUGAAUAAGGAUCGGCUAACUCCGUGCCAGCAGCCGCGGUAAUACGGAGGAUCCGAGCGUUAUCCGGAUUUAUUGGGUUUAAAGGGAGCGUAGAUGGGUUUUUAAGUCAGUUGUGAAAGUUUGCGGCUCAACCGUAAAAUUGCAAUUGAUACUGGCGGUCUUGAGUACAGUUGAGGUAGGCGGAAUUCGUGGUGUAGCGGUGAAAUGCUUAGAUAUCACGAAGAACUCCGAUAGCGAAGGCAGCUUACUAAACUGCCACUGACAUUGAUGCUCGAAAGUGUGGGUAUCAAACAGGAUUAGAUACCCUUGUAGUC
This 460-nucleotide ribosomal RNA is filed under the name uncultured bacterium. Its description in RNAcentral is "partial 16S ribosomal RNA". It matches the Rfam family "Bacterial small subunit ribosomal RNA", at positions 338 to 795 of the family's 1533-position model. The record is from RNAcentral.